AAGAGCUGGAGGACCUUUGAAGAAAGCAUAACAAAAAGGGAAGACUUUGGACACAGGUUAGAGAAGACCAGAGAGACACCAGAGAACACAGCAAGACACAAAGUAAAAUAGAAUAUUUGUUUUGUCCUUGAUAAUCCUUGUGGGCCCCUUCCAACUUGGCAUAUUCUCUGAUUCUGUGAAUUUAGGUCAUUCACAGGGAGGCCGAUACAGGUCUGUGAAAAAGUCUGUUGCCACCAGUAGUGUUGAUCCUUCUACACAAAAAAACUUCUAAGGAGCAAGCCUCCAGGGGCAUAUUGUAAAAGGAGUCUUUGUCUUGCAUGGUUUUAUGUUGGCAUUCAGUUUUGUUAUGUGGUAUUAGAUGUGAGUAUGCUUAUUUAAUGUUUAGGAUAGCAGUGCUUUAUUUCUAUGGACAUAUUCUGUGAAAAGGGGUGUUCCUUGUCUUUUGUCUAAAUAUUGGACACGUUUUUUGCUUGUUUGUUUGCUUUUGUUUGGUUUGGUUUUAGUUGUUUUGUUGUUGUUGCUUUCUAAUUCUUUUAUGCAACCUGGAAAUAAAACCAACUGUGUCACUUUACUAUUAAAAGCAUCUAGGUAGUAUGCUAUACAAGAUCAAAGAAUGUUUGUGAAUAAAGUAUUAGUCUCUUCUGCAGUGAUGAGAAUACUUAUAGACUUCAAGGUAGCAAGAGACAAGCGGUGGUGUCAGCAAGUGACCAAAUUGUAUGUUUUGUGGUCUUUACAAAUUGACAUGCAGAGCCAAAAUAUCACAAGCUGAAAUAAUGAAUAACCAAGAGGCUGAUGUUCUGCGUUGCUGGAGUUGUAGAAAAUACAUAGCAAAUUCUGUUUGCCUUGCCAAAUGCAAUGGAAAAGAACUAUCUGAAACAUCACAAACUUCAGCUGCUGCUCAGGACUCUUGCAGUGUGAAUUUAGAUGCCAUUCCAGAGUAGGUGAAAUGUGUCAUUGAAAAGGUAGAUUUUUUUUUUCUUGCAUCUUUACAUUCAAAAUGUGAAAUAACUAAGGGGAACAAGUUUCAAGAACACUUUUCUGCCAAGGUCUAUUGUAUGUUACAGACAUCUUAUAGCUGAGGGAAUUCUUCUCAGUAACUUCUAUCACUACCAUUUACAGAUUUUUUUUCCUCCCUCUUAAAUGCUGAUUUCUUUUGUUUUGUUUUUAAUGUAUGCAGAAAUGCUACAAGUGAUAAAUUCUGUUUCCUGCUCCUUUAUAGAUGAGUGUAUUGUUUGUCCAAAAAAUUGUCAUGGGCACCUCUGCUUAUUUGUCAAUGCUUAAUAUUAUAUUUAUUAUCUAGGUUUUGUGGUUUGCUUUGUCUUGCUCGCUAUAUCUUGUAAUACUAACAUAUAUCUUGACAGUGACAGUAAUGAAGCAGAGCAAGGCCUGAGAAACGAAUGUGAUAUUAGCAGAACGAGAAUUAGAGAGUUAAUUUAGAAUCCAUGCUUUGAGCAAAAGCAUAGAGAACUAAGUCUUAGGAACAGCAGAGAUAAUAACUCAUUAAGGAAUGCAGGACACUGACACAAAGGGCAUAAAGUAAGUACACAGGGAAACAGAGAGAACCAAAGAUGCUAACAUGCACAUAAAAUAGGCAUAUGGAGGGGAGACAGAGGAAGAUAAGGAAACAGAGAUGAGCCAAGACCUAGGUACUCUUGCCAAAUAUCAGGAACUUCUGCCAAAUGCACAAGGAAACCAUCCAAAGUAGGGAAAGGUCAAAAGUUUAUGGCAAUGAAGAGGAGGAAAAAGACCCUUCAGGAGGCCAAAGAACAGGAACUACCACCAUGUUUCUCCCCGGAUUGAAGACCACGCUCCUAACUCCAUCUUAACUCCUCCUGUUAUGACUGUUAAAACUAGAUGUUGCAAUAUUAUAAAUAUUCAUGAAUAAUGAUGCAAUUGCUUAGCAAAAAUUGUAUAAAAGGAUCCAGAUGUUCACUACUACUUUGGAGCUCUUUUGUCCAGUGUGAGCUGGGAGCCUCCCCAAUGUUGUAUUGCAAUAAAUGCCUCGCUACUCAAAGACCUAAACUCUGU
Long non-coding RNA from Manacus vitellinus (golden-collared manakin), 2028 nucleotides. The record is from Ensembl. Lineage: Eukaryota; Metazoa; Chordata; Aves; Passeriformes; Pipridae.